RNAcentral lists this ribosomal RNA (1097 nucleotides) under Providencia huaxiensis. RNAcentral's name for it is "partial 23S ribosomal RNA". It matches the Rfam family "Bacterial large subunit ribosomal RNA", at positions 455 to 1552 of the family's 2925-position model. The record is from RNAcentral. Lineage: Bacteria; Pseudomonadati; Pseudomonadota; Gammaproteobacteria; Enterobacterales; Morganellaceae.
AUCCUCCAAGGCUAAAUACUCCUGAUUGACCGAUAGUGAACCAGUACCGUGAGGGAAAGGCGAAAAGAACCCCGGCGAGGGGAGUGAAAUAGAACCUGAAACCGUGUACGUACAAGCAGUGGGAGCCUUGAUUUAUCAGGGUGACUGCGUACCUUUUGUAUAAUGGGUCAGCGACUUAUAUUCUGUAGCAAGGUUAACCGUAUAGGGGAGCCGUAGGGAAACCGAGUCUUAACUGGGCGAAUAAGUUGCAGGGUAUAGACCCGAAACCCGGUGAUCUAGCCAUGGGCAGGUUGAAGGUUGGGUAACACUAACUGGAGGACCGAACCGACUAAUGUUGAAAAAUUAGCGGAUGACUUGUGGCUGGGGGUGAAAGGCCAAUCAAACCGGGAGAUAGCUGGUUCUCCCCGAAAGCUAUUUAGGUAGCGCCUCGUGAACUCAUCUUCGGGGGUAGAGCACUGUUUCGACUAGGGGGUCAUCCCGACUUACCAACUCGAUGCAAACUACGAAUACCGAAGAAUGUUAUCACGGGAGACACACGGCGGGUGCUAACGUUCGUCGUGAAGAGGGAAACAACCCAGACCGCCAGCUAAGGUCCCAAAGUCAUAGUUAAGUGGGAAACGAAGUGGGAAGGCUCAGACAGCCAGGAUGUUGGCUUAGAAGCAGCCAUCAUUUAAAGAAAGCGUAAUAGCUCACUGGUCGAGUCGGCCUGCGCGGAAGAUGUAACGGGGCUAAACUAUGCACCGAAGCUGCGGCAGCGAUAUUUAGAUAUUGUUGGGUAGGGGAGCGUUCUGUAAGCCUGUGAAGGUGUACUGUGAGGUAUGCUGGAGGUAUCAGAAGUGCGAAUGCUGACAUAAGUAACGAUAAUGCGGGUGAAAAACCCGCACGCCGGAAGACCAAGGGUUCCUGUCCAACGUUAAUCGGGGCAGGGUGAGUCGACCCCUAAGGCGAGGCAGAAAUGCGUAGUCGAUGGGAAACGGGUUAAUAUUCCCGUACUGGUGAUAAUUGCGAUGGGGGGACGGAGAAGGCUAGGCUAUCCGGGCGACGGUUGUCCCGGUUUAAGAAUGUAGGCAGGUGAAUUAGGCAAAUCCGGUUCACUA